RNAcentral lists this unclassified non-coding RNA (229 nucleotides) under soil metagenome. RNAcentral's name for it is "partial internal transcribed spacer 1". The record is from RNAcentral.
CCGAAAUUUAAAACUCACAACGCGAGUCUCGUGCGGAAGCAAAUAUGACUGCCGAGACUUUGUGACUCUUCAAGUCUUCCUUUGCUCAAGUCAAACCACACUCGUGAAGCACAUGUGACGAGUCUGUGGUGAGCAUCGGGAGCACUGCGUUUCCUUCGGGAUUCACAGUCUAAAAAACGAAUUGUAAAAGUAUAUAUUAGUAUAUAUAAACAAAAAAAGACGUAAAAAU